Molecule: ribosomal RNA, 460 nt
Filed under: uncultured bacterium
Lineage: Bacteria
Description: partial 16S ribosomal RNA
Rfam family: Bacterial small subunit ribosomal RNA
Source: RNAcentral
CCUACGGGUGGCAGCAGUGAGGAAUAUUGGUCAAUGGGCGCAAGCCUGAACCAGACAAGUCGCGUGAGGGAUGACGGUCCUAUGGAUUGUAAACCUCUUUUGUCGGGGAGCAAGGCCCGCCACGUGUGGCGGGAAGGAGAGUACCCGAAGAAAAAGCAUCGGCUAACUCCGGGCCAGCAGCCGCGGUAAUACGGAGGAUCCGAGCGUUAUACGGAUUUAUUGGGUUAAAGGGGAGCGUAGGUGGAUUGUUAAGUCAGCGGUAAAAUUGAGAGGCUCAACCUCUUCGAGCCGUUGAAACUGGUUUUCUUGAGUGAGCGAGAAGUAUGCGGAAUGCGUGGUGUAGCGGUGAAAUGCAUAGAUAUCACGCAGAACUCCGAUUGCGAAGGCAGCAUACCGGCGCUCAACUGACGCUCAUGCACGAAAGUGUGGGUAUCGAACAGGAUUAGAUACCCCAGUAGUC